UGGGGAAUAUUGCACAAUGGGGGAAACCCUGAUGCAGCGACGCCGCGUGAAGGAUGAAGUAUUUCGGUAUGUAAACUUCUAUCAGCAGGGAAGAAAAUGACGGUACCUGACUAAGGAGCCCCGGCUAACUACGUGCCAGCAGCCGCGGUAAUACGUAGGGGGCAAGCGUUAUCCGGAUUUAUUGGGUUUAAAGGGUGCGUAGGCGGCGGUGCAAGUCUGGAGUGAAAGCCCGGGCUCAACCCCGGGACUGCUUUGGAAACUGUGGAUCUAGAGUGCCGGAGAGGUAAGCGGAAUUCCUAGUGUAGCGGUGAAAUGCGUAGAUAUUAGGAGGAACACCAGUGGCGAAGGCGGCUUACUGGACGGUAACUGACGUUGAGGCUCGAAAGCGUGGGGAGCAAACAGGAUUAGAUACCC
This 414-nucleotide ribosomal RNA is filed under the name uncultured bacterium. Its description in RNAcentral is "bacterial SSU rRNA". It matches the Rfam family "Bacterial small subunit ribosomal RNA", at positions 355 to 787 of the family's 1533-position model. The record is from RNAcentral.